GCAGUUUCAGUAACAGUCUACAUUUGCUCUCCUCAAUGUUUAUAUUUACUGUUGUAUCAGUAAUGAGUAGCUCAGCUAGAAGGAUUUAUCAGCAAUCUAGAGCCAUCUGACCAUGUGCAACUGGAGUAUGGUCACUAAAUAGAAUUUAAUUACUUUUUAUCUCUUUCCUUCACCCAGUGCUACAAGAAUAUAAACAGCUUGCCUUCCAUAAGGAUGAGCUGCAAGGGAAGCUUCCUGAUUGCUCACAAAGACACAGAUCGUCUGAAUUUUUCUGGGCAGAAAAAGUUCAAAGUGAACAUGUGAGGUCUCCAAUGACUCCUCAAGCAAGAUUACGAGAGCAUUAGCCUUCCUGGUAGCUUAAAGAAACAGCUAGCUUAAGUGUGAACAAAAUCCUCCGCAGAUGGGGGACAAGCUUGGAAAACAGCAGUAUAAAA
RNAcentral lists this long non-coding RNA (434 nucleotides) under Numida meleagris (helmeted guineafowl). Its description in RNAcentral is "lncRNA (ENSNMEG00000015709.1)". The record is from RNAcentral. Lineage: Eukaryota; Metazoa; Chordata; Aves; Galliformes; Numididae.